AAGGGCACCGCAAGAACGCGUGGAGCAUGUGGCUUAAUUUGACUCAACGCGGGAAAUCUUACCGGGUCCGGACACACUGAGGAUUGACAGGUAACGUUAUACACACAUAUAUUUACUCUCGGGUAUUUAUACUGCUGUGUAUAUAUAAAAUAUGCUAGUCCUUUCAUGAUUAUGUGAUAGGUGGUGCAUGGCCGUUCUUAGUUCGUGGAGUGAUCUGUCUGCUUAAUUGCGUUUCACUAAGGAUCUAUAUUCAUAUUACGCAUAGCAUUUUGACCCCUUUAUGCUUCGGUAUAAAGCUGCGCGUCAAACCUUGCUAUCUGCGUAUAUUAGAUCCUGAAAGCAACGAACGUGACCGCAACCUCUUGUUGCCUUUAACUAGGUUUUGCUUACGUAUAGCUUCGGCUUUACGCUUUGCAUCUAAAAAGGCUGAUUUUCUAAACUAGAGGGACCGCUGUUACUUUCUUAAACCAGAGGAAGGUUGCGGCAAUAACAGGUCUGUGAUGCCCUUUAGAUGUUCCGGGCCGCACACGUGCUACAAUGAUUAUUGCAGUGAGCAUCUCAUAUAUUGAUUUUAUUCACACACCGCUUGCGCGUGGCUUAUGCACUUUACACUUCGUUGUAUCGCGUAUUCGCUUUCUGCGCGCGGUACAGCCUGCUUCGACAGUCUAGUGGGUAAUCAAUUAGAAGUAAUGAUUUCCAUAUAGCGCACACUAUAUACGCACAUCUUAUGUCCUUGAUGAACUUGUUUCAACAUGUGUACGUAUAGAUGUUUUUUGCGUAUGUGCACAAUUGUCAAUUCAUGGUGGGGACAGACCAUUGUUAAUUGUUGGUCUCGGUCUUAACUAGGAAUGCCUUGUACGGGUCUUUGGUUCAACAAACCACCCGGAAUACGUCCCUGCCCUUUGUACACACCGCCCGUCGCUC
RNAcentral lists this ribosomal RNA (924 nucleotides) under Nonionella sp. T1. RNAcentral describes it as "SSU rRNA". It matches the Rfam family "Eukaryotic small subunit ribosomal RNA", at positions 1160 to 1681 of the family's 1831-position model. Lineage: Eukaryota; Foraminifera; Rotaliida; Nonionidae. The record is from RNAcentral.